Molecule: small RNA, 19 nt
Filed under: Arabidopsis thaliana (thale cress)
Lineage: Eukaryota; Viridiplantae; Streptophyta; Magnoliopsida; Brassicales; Brassicaceae
Description: ATSL306820
Source: RNAcentral
AAAAAAAUAGAAGAAAAGA